RNAcentral lists this ribosomal RNA (1356 nucleotides) under uncultured marine eukaryote. RNAcentral describes it as "SSU rRNA". It matches the Rfam family "Eukaryotic small subunit ribosomal RNA", at positions 411 to 1779 of the family's 1831-position model. The record is from RNAcentral.
CACUUCUAAGGAAGGCAGCAGGCGCGCAAAUUACCCAAUCCUGACUCAGGGAGGUAGUGACAAGAAAUAACAAUAAACCGGCUUAUGCCGGUUUAAUUGGAAUGAGUACAAUUUAAACAUCUUAACGAGGAACAAUUGGAGGGCAAGUCUGGUGCCAGCAGCCGCGGUAAUUCCAGCUCCAAUAGCGUAUACUAAAGUUGUUGCAGUUAAAAAGCCCGUAGUUGGAUUUCUGUGGGGACGGAGCGGCCGGCCGCAACUCGCGGUUCGAGCUGGCGCUUUCCCUACAUCCUGCCGCGAACCGUGCUACCAUUAGUUUGGUGGCGCCGGGGAUCGGCUCGAUUACUUUGAGAAAAAUAGAGUGUUCAAAGCAGGCCACAUGCCUUGAAUAAGUUAGCAUGGAAUAAUAACUAAGGACUUCGGUUCUAUUUUGUUGGUGUUCGGGACUGAAGUAAUGAUUGAUAGGGACAGUUGGGGCGGUCUGUAUUCCAAAGCGAGAGGUGAAAUUCUUAGACCUUCGGAAGACAAACAGCUGCGAAAGCGUUCCGCAAGGAUGUUCCCUUUGAUCAAGAACGAAAGUUGGGGGAUCGAAGGCGAUCAGAUACCGUCGUAGUCUCAACUAUAAACUAUACCAGCUAGGGAUCGGCCAACGUUAUUUCAAACCGACUUGGUCGGCACCUUAUGAGAAAUCAAAGCAUCUGGGUUCCGGGGGGAGUAUGGUCGCAAGGCUGAAACUUAAAGGAAUUGACGGAAGGGCACCACCAGCCGUGGAGCCUGUGGCUUAAUUUGACUCAACACGGGAAAACUUACCAGGUCCAGACAUAGUAAGGAUUGACAGAUUGAUAGCUCUUUCUUGAUUCUGUGGGUGGUGGUGCAUGGCCGUUCUUAGUUGGUGGAGUGAUUUGUCUGGUUAAUUCCGUUAACGAACGAGACCCCAGCCUGCUAAAUAGCGCGCGUGAGCUUUGCUCGCGGCGAGCUUCUUAGAGGGACUCUGAUGCGCGAUAGCACAUGGAAGUUUGGGGCAAUAACAGGUCUGUGAUGCCCUUAGAUGUUCUGGGCCGCACACGGGCUACACUGGCGCCUGCAACGAGCAUAUCAGCUGGCCCGAGAGGGUCUUGGCUAAUCUUUUGAACCGGCGCCGUGCUUGGGAUUGACCUUUGCAAUUGUUGGUCAUGCAACGAGGAAUGCCUUGUAAACGCGAGUCAUCAGCUCGCAUUGAAUACGUCCCUGCCCUUUGUACACACCGCCCGUCGCUCCUACCGAUGAAUGUUCCGAUGAAAUUUUCGGAGAGCACCUGUGAACUUGGCUCUGCCUUGCGAACGGGAGGCUCAAAGUCACUUAAAUCUGAACAUUUCGAGG